Molecule: small RNA, 58 nt
Filed under: Citrobacter freundii
Lineage: Bacteria; Pseudomonadati; Pseudomonadota; Gammaproteobacteria; Enterobacterales; Enterobacteriaceae
Also listed under: 17 other names
Description: partial RtT sRNA
Rfam family: RtT RNA
About the family: This family represents a bacterial cis-regulatory element known as RtT RNA. The exact function of RtT is unknown although it is thought that it may be involved in changing the cellular response in relation to amino acid starvation.
Source: RNAcentral
CAGGCAACGACCCGAAGGGCGAAGCGCGCAGCGCUGAGUAAUCCUUCCCCCACCACCA